RNAcentral lists this ribosomal RNA (253 nucleotides) under uncultured bacterium. RNAcentral describes it as "partial 16S ribosomal RNA". It matches the Rfam family "Bacterial small subunit ribosomal RNA", at positions 524 to 776 of the family's 1533-position model. The record is from RNAcentral.
UACGGGGGGGGCAAGCGUUGUUCGGAAUUACUGGGCGUAAAGCGCGCGUAGGCGGCUUUGCAAGUCGGAUGUGAAAUCCCACGGCUCAACCGUGGAAGUGCAUUCGAAACUGCAGGGCUAGAGUCCUGGAGAGGAAGGUGGAAUGCUUGGUGUAGAGGUGAAAUUCGUAGAUAUCAAGCGGAACACCGGUGGCGAAGGCGGCCUUCUGGACAGUGACUGACGCUGAGACGCGAAAGCGUGGGGAGCAAACAGG